Molecule: non-coding RNA, 257 nt
Organism: Paramuricea clavata
Lineage: Eukaryota; Metazoa; Cnidaria; Anthozoa; Malacalcyonacea; Plexauridae
Source: the annotation of a GenBank genome assembly
AGUAUUUCCAGGCCAGGUUGUACAAAGUCCCAAAAGCACUAUCCACAGGAUAUAUAGCGAUUGUUACAAGCUUCCUAAAUAAUCCAUUGAUUGGUAUAAAUCGAUAUCAGAUUAGUAUUUAGUUUGCAUAGAUUGAAAAUGCAAUAAAACGCCUCGUUCUGUGCCUAAAGGCGGAUUUCCAGUCCUCGCACGAAGCUCCUUGCAGCUCGCUGCGAGUGAUGCAUGAGCACUUUCAUCCAAUCACAAUGCUAAACAGC